AUGUAGCUCAGUGGUAGAGCACUUGCCUAGCAUGAAUGAGACCAUGGGUUCAAUCCCCAGUGCCAUA
Molecule: transfer RNA, 67 nt
Filed under: Marmota monax (woodchuck)
Lineage: Eukaryota; Metazoa; Chordata; Mammalia; Rodentia; Sciuridae
Description: tRNA.Ala
Source: RNAcentral